Molecule: ribosomal RNA, 253 nt
Filed under: uncultured bacterium
Lineage: Bacteria
Description: partial 16S ribosomal RNA
Rfam family: Bacterial small subunit ribosomal RNA
Source: RNAcentral
UACGGAGGAUUCGAGCGUUAUCCGGAUUUAUUGGGUUUAAAGGGUGCGCAGGCGGGUUGAUAAGUCAGUGGUGAAAGGUUUACGCUUAACGUAGACAUUGCCAUUGAAACUGUCGAUCUUGAGUACAAAUGAGGUAGGCGGAAUGUGUUGUGUAGCGGUGAAAUGCAUAGAUAUGACACAGAACACCGAUUGCGAAGGCAGCUUACUGGGAUGUAACUGACGCUCAGGCACGAAAGCGUGGGGAUCAAACAGG